GCUGGCGGCGUGCCUAAUACAUAGCAAGUCGAACGGCUUUUCUAUGGAAGCUUGCUUCCACUGAGAAGAUAGUGGCAACGGGUGAGUAACACGUGGGUAACCUGCCCAUAAGAGGGGGAUAACAUCCGGAAACGGGUGCUAAUACCGCAUAGUUUUCUUGAUCGCAUGAUUGAGAAAGGAAAGACGGCCUUUGUGCUGUCGCUUAUGGAUGGACCCGCGGCGUAUUAGUUAGUUGGUGAGGUAACGGCUCACCAAGACGAUGAUACGUAGCCGACCUGAGAGGGUGAUCGGCCACAUUGGGACUGAGACACGGCCCAAACUCCUACGGGAGGCAGCAGUAGGGAAUCUUCCGCAAUGGACGAAAGUCUGACGGAGCAACGCCGCGUGAGUGAAAGAAGGUUUUUCGGAUCGUAAAACUCUGUUGUCAGAGAAGAACAAGUUGGAGAGUAACUGCUCCAGCCUUGACGGUAUCUGACCAGAAAGCCACGGCUAACUACGUGCCAGCCGCCGC
RNAcentral lists this ribosomal RNA (511 nucleotides) under uncultured bacterium. Its description in RNAcentral is "bacterial SSU rRNA". It matches the Rfam family "Bacterial small subunit ribosomal RNA", at positions 35 to 518 of the family's 1533-position model. The record is from RNAcentral.